Long non-coding RNA from Nymphaea colorata (pocket water lily), 776 nucleotides. RefSeq lists it as uncharacterized. The record is from RefSeq and is a predicted model, not a curated record. The transcript is spliced from 3 exons. Lineage: Eukaryota; Viridiplantae; Streptophyta; Magnoliopsida; Nymphaeales; Nymphaeaceae.
AUCUACUCUGCAUUUCCAAACUUUCCCCGCGAGCCGUCACGCACGGAUAAAAAAUCCCCGCUGCUGACGUCCUGAAACGCGGACUUUCAUUCGAGGAGAAAAGUCGGACCUCUGUAGGGGAUGCCUUAGCUCCCUACGGAUCGCAUCGCACCUUCCUCCCUUUCCCUUCCCAGCAGCGCAGCAGCACGCCGGCUCCCUCCCCAGCAGCACACCAUCGCCGGGAUCCUCAUUCUACAUAUCAUCAAGGAAGAUGGAGGGCAGCAACUUCCUGUCUUGUGAGAAGCUCGACCGGAUGGCAAAUUGGGUGGGGUCAAGCGUUGCGUCGGCCUUCUUUGCCUCCCUAGAGCGGUGCUCCUGCAUCAACUUGAGCACCACUGAUGCUGAGGAUGAGGAGGAGGCCAAUGACCGCCCACUGAUGCUCACCAAGCCAGUCGUCCAUGACCUCCCAGAGAACCUGCUGGAAGAGAAGCCAUCCCACGUUUGUGUCAAUGUUGGAUCUGCAUGAGAGGCCUUCUCGCCCUCUGCGCUGUCCAAGAUUAUGGUGUGUAUCUGUCAAUCAGCCGUUAGGCCUUAAGGUCUCCACCUGUCAUGUGCUCAAAAGCUCUCUGUAAAUCAGUUUUACUGUGUUCUUUCCCGUUCUUUCCUUCUGUAAUUUGUUUGAUACGCGACUGUCGUGGCCCUGAAAGUGUAUGACAACAUUUGUGCAAAGUGGUUAAUGAUUGGAAUCUUCGAUGCAUAUAUAUAUUUAUAUAUAUAAUUGGAUGAGUUGUUUUGCA